GGGUUGUGAGGUUAAGCGACUAAGCGUACACGGUGGAUGCCCUGGCAGUCAGAGGCGAUGAAGGACGUGCUAAUCUGCGAUAAGCGUCGGUAAGGUGAUAUGAACCGUUAUAACCGGCGAUUUCCGAAUGGGGAAACCCAGUGUGAUUCGUCACACUAUCAUUAACUGAAUCCAUAGGUUAAUGAGGCGAACCGGGGGAACUGAAACAUCUAAGUACCCCGAGGAAAAGAAAUCAACCGAGAUUCCCCCAGUAGCGGCGAGCGAACGGGGAGCAGCCCAGAGCCUGAAUCAGUGUGUGUGUUAGUGGAAGCGUCUGGAAAGGCGCGCGAUACAGGGUGACAGCCCCGUACACAAAAAUGCACAUGCUGUGAGCUCGAUGAGUAGGGCGGGACACGUGGUAUCCUGUCUGAAUAUGGGGGGACCAUCCUCCAAGGCUAAAUACUCCUGACUGACCGAUAGUGAACCAGUACCGUGAGGGAAAGGCGAAAAGAACCCCGGCGAGGGGAGUGAAAAAGAACCUGAAACCGUGUACGUACAAGCAGUGGGAGCACAGAGCAAUCUGUGUGACUGCGUACCUUUUGUAUAAUGGGUCAGCGACUUAUAUUCUGUAGCAAGGUUAACCGAAUAGGGGAGCCGAAGGGAAACCGAGUCUUAACUGGGCGUUAAGUUGCAGGGUAUAGACCCGAAACCCGGUGAUCUAGCCAUGGGCAGGUUGAAGGUUGGGUAACACUAACUGGAGGACCGAACCGACUAAUGUUGAAAAAUUAGCGGAUGACUUGUGGCUGGGGGUGAAAGGCCAAUCAAACCGGGAGAUAGCUGGUUCUCCCCGAAAGCUAUUUAGGUAGCGCCUCGUGAAUUCAUCUCCGGGGGUAGAGCACUGUUUCGGCAAGGGGGUCAUCCCGACUUACCAACCCGAUGCAAACUGCGAAUACCGGAGAAUGUUAUCACGGGAGACACACGGCGGGUGCUAACGUCCGUCGUGAAGAGGGAAACAACCCAGACCGCCAGCUAAGGUCCCAAAGUCAUGGUUAAGUGGGAAACGAUGUGGGAAGGCCCAGACAGCCAGGAUGUUGGCUUAGAAGCAGCCAUCAUUUAAAGAAAGCGUAAUAGCUCACUGGUCGAGUCGGCCUGCGCGGAAGAUGUAACGGGGCUAAACCAUGCACCGAAGCUGCGGCAGCGACGCUUAUGCGUUGUUGGGUAGGGGAGCGUUCUGUAAGCCUGUGAAGGUGUACUGUGAGGUAUGCUGGAGGUAUCAGAAGUGCGAAUGCUGACAUAAGUAACGAUAAAGCGGGUGAAAAGCCCGCUCGCCGGAAGACCAAGGGUUCCUGUCCAACGUUAAUCGGGGCAGGGUGAGUCGACCCCUAAGGCGAGGCCGAAAGGCGUAGUCGAUGGGAAACAGGUUAAUAUUCCUGUACUUGGUGUUACUGCGAAGGGGGGACGGAGAAGGCUAUGUUGGCCGGGCGACGGUUGUCCCGGUUUAAGCGUGUAGGCUGGUUUUCCAGGCAAAUCCGGAAAAUCAAGGCUGAGGC
This 1529-nucleotide ribosomal RNA is filed under the name Escherichia coli. RNAcentral describes it as "partial 23S ribosomal RNA". It matches the Rfam family "Bacterial large subunit ribosomal RNA", at positions 1 to 1562 of the family's 2925-position model. The record is from RNAcentral. Lineage: Bacteria; Pseudomonadati; Pseudomonadota; Gammaproteobacteria; Enterobacterales; Enterobacteriaceae.